UGCUACUUUCUUACUCUACUGUCGCAAAAGAAGGCAGAUAUUCUGUCACGACGUACGGAUAAACAUGAGACCACGUGACACAACCAGGAAGUGUGAGGAAAGCUGGUUCGCGGCUGGAGGAGGAGCCUCCAAACGUGUGUCCUUCGUAGACCGGAUAUGCUUCUUGCCUGGCGGAAGCAGACCCCGGAUUCAAACACAGCCUUCCUCAGCGGAACCAAAACGUGAGCAUCCUGUUUCACGUCGGACGUAAAUACAUGCCAUACAAUUGAACGCAACAGGGAGCUGGAGCAGCUGACAGCAAUGCUUGUUAUUUUCGCCAUUGGCAUGUAAUGUCACAUAAUUACACUUUUAUCUAUUUGAAGUUGGCAGUUUUUGUGCUAACAUGUUUACUAAAGCGUUUCGUGUUAAAUCAAACACCGUAAUGAAGACAUCAGACAGGAGAAAGCUCAAGGCUGACGUAUCGGCAGCCUUUCCUUCCCUGACUUCUGAUGACUUAACUCAGCUGAUCCCCAACAAAGAAGUAUUGAAUGUUGUGAAGAUUUAUGCUCACAAAGGAGAAUCUGUGGCAUUAUAUGUUCUUCAGAAAAAUCCGCUGUUCUUUGAAUUAGAGAAACAACUUUAUCCUACAGUCUAUAUGCUUUGGCGCUUCCCCAAUGUCCUCCCCACGUUCAGCACAUGGCCUCCUGUACUUGACAAGAUGAUCGGAGGAGCUGAUCUCAUGCUUCCAGGUGUGGUGGUGCCUUCUAACGGUCUCCCAGAAAUAAAAAAGGGGGACUGCUGUGCUGUUACAGUUGUCAAUAACAGAGCUCCAGUUGCAGUUGGCACAGCUGCAGUUUCCAGCGCAGAAAUGCUCAGUUUGGGCAUGAAAGGGAAAGGAGUAUGUGUUUUGCACACAUACAUGGAUCAUCUCUGGGCCUUUGGAGAAAAAUCCAAUCCCCCCACUAUACCAGAGAGUGAACAACCUGUUGUAUACGGUGAAGAAUAUCCGCCUGAUGAGCGAGAGGAGGAGGAAGAAGAAGAAGAGGAGGACGGCAAACAGAUUGUAGAGCAAAAGCAACAACAAAUCAAGUCGGAUGAAGAUCAAACCUGCUCUGAUGUGGCCAAGCUGAGCUUGGCCGAGCAGGAUGAAGAGGCGAGAGAAAAAACAAACGAGGAAGAGGAUGAUAACCCAGAUGAUCAGAAGUCACCACAAGAGGACAUGGACUCCCUGUUUCUACAGUGUUUCCUCUGUGCUCUCAAAAGCAAAGUGAAGAAAUCAGAGCUCCCUCUGCUGACAAGCACAUUUCUCCGCAACCACAUGUUUUCAUGCUGCCCGAGCGGAAAAAAACUAGAUAUUAAAAAAUCCAGUUAUAAAAAGCUGUCCAAGUUUCUGCAGGUCAUGCAGCAGCAGCACAGCCUGGUGCGGGUCAAAGAGCUGGCCAAGGGUGUGGACAGCAUUGUAGAGGUGGACUGGAAAAACCCAGAACUACGCUCCUUCUGUGUGCCUAAGGAGGCAGAGGUUGAAGAAAUUUCGCUACCGAGUGGAGGAGGAGAAACGAUGUAUCGUCCUCCUGAGAUCACCGUUUUAUACUCUGUGUCCACCCGACUGGAGCCUCUUUUUCAAGAUGCAAACAAAAGGAAAGGUGUGAUACUGCAGCCUGCUGAGGUGAGAAGUAUUGUCACCGACUAUGUGAAGAUGAAUGACUUGGUGGAUGAAAACAAUAAGAAUUAUGUGAGCAUCAACCCAACACUAUGUGACUGUUUGCUUGAAAAAUCUGAAUACCAGGAUAUAGUCUCUUUUAAGUGGGAUGACCUUUUCAGUAGGACGCUGGAGAGAAUGCAGCGGUGCUAUCAGAUAGUGUUUCCUGGACAGAAACCCGUCGUCAAGAAGGGCCACAUUGAGCCCAUAGACAUCACUGUUGUUUCUCGAGGCGGCAAUAAAAAGGUGACUCUAAUAAAGAACCUGGAAGUAUACGGUUUGGAUCCUCCCGCUGUGGCCACUGCAUUGCAGCACAAAGUUCAAGCCAGCUCUGUCCUGCAGCCUGUUCCUGGGUCUAAGAACAACGUCCUUGUCCAGAUUCAAGGCAAUCAGAUUCAACAAGUCGGCCGUUUGCUGCUCGAUCAUUAUCAAAUUCCUCGCAAGUACAUCCAAGGGUUAGACAAAGCUGCUAAAGGUGGAAAGAAGAAGUAGCAUAUCAUCGGUGUACCUUUUACUUUCUGCAUAGCUUACACAGCUGCUCUGCUAUAAUGAUCGUCACACAUCUUCUGGAAGACUGUUCCAGAUUUUGGCGGCAUUAAAACUGAAACCCUGCCUCACCCAGUCCUGACUCUGGGCACCCACAGGAGACCCGUGCCUGAAGUUCUCACAGCCCGAAAUGGUUUCUAUGGCUCAAUCAAGUUCAUUCUCUAAGCAACAGGAUGCCGGUGCAGAGACCUGAGUACUGGACUAAUAUGAUAUUUUCUGGUUCUAGUCAAGACUCGAGUAGUCUCCAGCAGUCUGCCGGCCUCUGUGACGCAUAGAUCUCGAGAGUCAUCUGGUGACGUAGGUCCGUGACACUGGCGUAGCGUGUCGUCUACAUAGUUGUGGUAGGCCCAUCUACAUUUACAGCAUCUCAAAAGUGAGUCAGGUAUUUUCUUACAUAAUCAGUUCCCAGUUCCACAUGUCCAAAAGGAGUAGGAAGAAGCAAAGCUUAUUAAAUCCUACCCCUCCAUCUGGUACUUUUACAAUCAGUAACAUACAGUUACAUUUGUUCACUUCCUGCUUUCCUAAUAUAGUUUAAGGUUUUUUUUACGUUUUUUUUUUGUAAUUUUUAAUUUUUUUUGUUGUCACGUACCGAAGUAAAAGGUGAUAUGACCAUACAUGGCUUUUUAACGUAGUCCUAGCAUAGAAGUGUUUCAAAUUUAGUUAUUCCCUGAGAUCAUAUUUCUCCUCUCUUGUAGAGAAGUAUUGGAUUACAUUUUUAGCUAAUUGGUUAUUUUUUAGCCUUAUACAUUAUUUUAGCUGUUUGAAGAUUAAUUAUAUCAGCGAGUUGAAGUAUUUGUGAUUUUAGUUGUAACCGUUAUCUGAGCCUUCUCGACAUGAAAUAACACCCAUAUAGUAAGUUAUCUUUAUAUUCCCUAUAUACCCUGCUAUAGGGAAUGAAGGAAACAAAAAUUCUAACAUGUACUGUGACAUUGUGAAGUACAGUAUCAUCACCUCCCUUGGUAAAAUGUGCCAAAUAGUAUUUUUCCAAUAUGAUAAUGAUCCCACACACACUCCCAUGUGAGCAAGUAUGUCUCCAGAGCUAAACCAGCUCACAUAUACAAGUCGACAAGUCUUUGUCGCCAUCUAUUGGCUACGGACUGAAACUGCAACGCCUUGACAGCUGUCCGAUUAGUAAAUUGUACCUACUCGAAGCAGGUAACAAUAAUAAUGCGACAUCAAGUGAUCAAAACGGGUCUGCACAGUUAAGUUACCAAGUAAAUUUAGAUAUAAACCAAAAUAGAGACGAGCUGAAGAAAACCAAAUAAAGUGGCGUUCAACUUCCCCGCUGAGCUCCUCCAUUGGGGCUGCCGGUUGCUGUCUUGGGAGAGGGCGGGCGCUGUGUGCGACUGGCCAAUCACAGAGCGAGAAGAGUGAAUACAUAAUGAGCAUUUUCUUUAAACACGAAUACGGAUAAUAACGAAAAUGUACUCGUUCCGUACUCCUAUCCGGCUCACCCCUACCAAUUAGACAAUGCCCAUUCAACAUUUAUGUUUAUUUAAGCUGUUUUAAGGGCAAAUAGUUCCAACACGCAGCUUUAAGUGAAGUCAGUCUUCGGCCAGGCAAUGUCAUCAUGCUGAGAGGAUUUGACUGCUAAAAAGGAUUACACCAUUUGACAUCCUGAUCGAAACUGCUUAACCACUUUGAUUAGAGACCAAAAAUAUAAUAUCAUAUUUUCAGCAUUUUUACACUGUGAUUAUGUUACCACAGAACAUAUUGGAGAAGAUCUGAGACACAGUGAUAAACUACUACAUAACUUGUUAAAACAGGGGUCUCAAACUCAAUUUACUUGGGGGCCACUGGAGCUAGGGUCUGGGUGAGACUGGGCCAGGUUUUCCAAAAAAAAAAAAACGCAUUUAUUAAAAACAGAAAAAUAUACAAACUUUUUCAGUGCUUUGGUUCCGAUUUUCUACAAUAAAAGCA
Non-coding RNA from Doryrhamphus excisus (bluestripe pipefish), 4144 nucleotides. NCBI's taxonomy places the organism in Eukaryota, Metazoa, Chordata, Actinopteri, Syngnathiformes, Syngnathidae. The record is from RefSeq and is a predicted model, not a curated record.